CACACGCACACACGCACGCACACACGUGCAUGUUCCUCGCCAUAUAAGUGCAUUCAUCUUGAAAGGGACACCGUUAAACCCCAUUUCACCUCACCUCAGAUGGAAGAAAAAAUUGUUCUUCCUUGUAUAUAUUUACAUGUUUUAUCUUAGUGUUUCAAUAAAAAAUGAUGUUUACAGUGCAAAAGCAAAUGGUACAGCAGACCGGGUUAAGACACUUUCACCAAUGCGUUUCAUUAUUUUGUUUUAGUUUAUGGUAAAUCAAUGUGUGGAUUAGUUUCAAAAGUUCACCUCCCAGGGGGCUUGAUAACAACAAAAUGUUGCCUUCAUUUUUACCUUGCCUUUAUGGUUAUAGACUACAUAUUUUGCAUUAACCUAAAUGUAUUGUAUGUGUUCUGAGUCCAUUACGCUGAACAACGUCAUAGAUGAUUGGCUGCUUAAAAUGAUACUAGUACGUUUUUCUGACGUUUGUGGUGGUUCUUAGACUUUCACACGCAUUGCUAAUAACGCCUUACAUGAGAGAGUGAGUGAGUAUGGUUUUACGCCGCUUUUAGCAAUAUUCCAGCAAUAUCACGGCGGGGGACACCAGAAAUGGGCUUCACACAUUGUACCCAUGUCAGGAAUCGAACCCGGGUCUUCGGCGUGACGAGCGAACGCUUUAACCACUUGGCUACCCGACCGCCCCACGCCUAACAUGAAUAUCAGUCAGAAUCAGUGUACAUCAAUAACCCUUGUACUACUUCACGAGAGCUUCUAAUAAACUUCGAAAAUGAUAACAGACUUUGACAUUAAAUGGAGCCUGACCCUGAAGUUAUGAUUGGUAGAAAUAUAUAUAUUAAAUGACGAGAAUUUUCAACUAGACAAUCGGGCCAUCGUUAUGGAAAAGUUACAAACCAAAUUUAAAAGUCACUGAUAGGUAGCUAUUUUGACAAUUGUGAUAAAUUAGGAAGGAAAGAGAGAUAUUAAACAAGACUUUUGGCAUCUACUAAUGUCAUAUGACAGGGUUAUCCAUCUCAGGCAACUUUAGAAAUUCUGUCAUGCAUAAUGUUGAUUAUGUCACGUCAGUAAUUUCGUUGUGUACAAUUCACAUGGCGUUCAAAGUGUAACAAUUUCUUUAUGUGGUCUAUCAAAUCAAUUUCGGUCGCUUCAAUUAUUAAUACCGUGUGUUUGUUCACUAAUUUCUCAAAGAUAUACACACAACUGCGAAUUAAUUCCUCCUUGAAUGUGUUUUUGCUUUGUUCGCAAUUGUUUUACUUCUAUCGUUUAGUAUUGUCUUUUGGUAUUGUGAUGUGCUGAUGAAGUUUUAACGUUUACCGUUAUUUGUGGUUAUGAUGUAUUUUAGACUUUUUGUACAACACUAUCAUGCAAAGUUGAUAUGAAACCAUCUAAAUGCUAACUUAUACCUGUACUUGAAAUCAUAACAGUGGCGUUUGAGCUGAACUUCAACGUUUAACGUUACAUCUCACUGGAAUCGAUUCUGAAUGUUUUUGGGGUUUUUUUAUUUUUAUUUUUUAUUCCCAUCAUUUCAAAUACAAAGUAUACAUGGAACAUAUUACAUUAAGAUCAGCAUGGUAUAUAUUCAAAUCGCCUUGUUGUACAUUCAGUAGUUUGUUUCUCUGGUACAUCUGGUAGAUCUGGUAGAUCUAUAUAUAAGGUUUCUAUACAGAAUAACAGACAAAUUGUAGUAUUAAAUCAUAUCUUGGUAUUCUUGAAUAAUGUGUGGAAUGAAGACCAAAAAGAGAAAAAUUUAGCUUGUUUACAAUUUGAGAAAGCAAUAGAUCUUGUAGCUUCAUAAUAUUUAAUUAUUUCCCACUUCUCUUGUUUAAAAUGUUGAAUUGAUUUCUUUCUCAUUUGUUUAUAAAUUACAAAUUUUGCAAUUUAAAAUGUAAUAUUUAAUGGAUUCUGCAUGUUGUUCCUUAACAAUCACAACUUCAACUGAACUGAAACGGUUCAAGAAUUGUGUCAUCACUAGAUACGGAUUUUCAAAUUGAUUUUUAAAGUUGGAUCCCACGACGACUACUUUAAAAAAGCUAAUUCUGUUUCUACUUUAGUUAUGUUUUCAUUGUGUAAACUUUGAUAUGAGUAUAGUAUCUAUGUUAUUAUAUGAGCGUUUUCAUUUUGACCUGGUUUGGGAUCACGGUCUGUCAUAUGCUGAAGCCGAGGGACGAUAUGCCAAAUCGAGGACCUACACAGUCCAAUAUUAAACACCAACACCAAUAUUAUAACACUUGUAUUGUGCUUGCUUGAAACGGGAUUUACUUUUCUAAUUAAUAAAAUGUGAAUACAUGUAAGCUUUUAA
Molecule: long non-coding RNA, 2296 nt
Organism: Haliotis rufescens (red abalone)
Lineage: Eukaryota; Metazoa; Mollusca; Gastropoda; Lepetellida; Haliotidae
Exons: 2
Source: RefSeq, a predicted model, not a curated record